UGGAACUCAGGCAGUAAGUAUUUAUUUUAGCUCCUGGUGAUUACAAUAAGCAGCCAAAGUUAAGAACCAUUGUAAAAACCCAAGUCAAGCUUGAAAGACCAGACCAGCAGUUAUAUCUCAGGAGCCAUUUCCCAGGAAGAGUCUGCCAUGAGCAUCUCAGGACCUGAAGCAGACUGCUACAGCUGUGAUCUCUCCUGUGGGGUCCUGUCCUCGUGAACACUCGGUGGACCUCCAGGCUGUGGGGCGGUAUGCGGAAUCUGAGGUGGAAACGAGGGUCUCCUCUGGAGGGAGAGACCCAGCACCCAGGACUCAGAGAGGGGCAGCAGGGUGACUGCAUACUCUUGACUGUCCUAUGGCCUUGCUCUUUGUCCCCUGCUCUUUCUGAUCUUCUCAGAUUUUGUGUUGACCAUGAUUGUGUCCUUUCUCCUUCUCCUCUCAGCCCCAAGAUAACCUCCUUAUGCCCAUUGUCUCAGUGGUCGCCCAUACUCUGCUUCAGCACCCAUGCUCCUACCUAUCAAACGGGCUAUUACUGGCUUCUCUUAGCUACUGUAGCUUUCCCUUUUCCUGCAGUGCUAGUUAUUGAACCCAGUACCUUCUGCAUACCAGGUGAAAGAGAUGCUGUGCCCCGGGGGCCGGGGGUCUCUCCCCGCAUUCCCGAAAUAAAGGUUACUUAUGUUU
Cavia porcellus (domestic guinea pig) is the source of this 678-nucleotide long non-coding RNA. RefSeq lists it as uncharacterized. The record is from RefSeq and is a predicted model, not a curated record. Lineage: Eukaryota; Metazoa; Chordata; Mammalia; Rodentia; Caviidae. The transcript is spliced from 2 exons.